UUUUGUGUGUGCAUUCGACGCUCGUAUGUGCAAUUGUCAAUUCAUGGUGGGGACAGACCAUUGUUAAUUGUUGGUCUCGGUCUUAACUAGGAAUGCCUUGUACGGGUCUUUGGUUCAACAAACCACCCGGAAUACGUCCCUGCCCUUUGUACACACCGCCCGUCGCUCUUACCGAUGGACUUCUCUGUGAGUUUGAGGGACUGGAUUUUAUAUCUAUGGAAACUCAAACGAAC
This 233-nucleotide ribosomal RNA is filed under the name Haynesina sp. S16. Its description in RNAcentral is "partial small subunit ribosomal RNA". It matches the Rfam family "Eukaryotic small subunit ribosomal RNA", at positions 1520 to 1764 of the family's 1831-position model. Lineage: Eukaryota; Foraminifera; Rotaliida; Nonionidae. The record is from RNAcentral.